This is a long non-coding RNA of Salvia splendens (bonfire salvia), 462 nucleotides long. RefSeq lists it as uncharacterized. The transcript is spliced from 3 exons. The record is from RefSeq and is a predicted model, not a curated record. NCBI's taxonomy places the organism in Eukaryota, Viridiplantae, Streptophyta, Magnoliopsida, Lamiales, Lamiaceae.
UAAAAUGCCAAAUAAAUCCAAAUUAAACCAAAAUCAUAUAAAAUAAAAUAAAAAAGGGAAUUCAAAUCCCACUCCUAAUCCCACGAUUAAAAUAAAACGCCCCUCCCCAUCACUCCCAUAAAUCUCUCCCCAAACCUAAACUACCAUUAGCCACCUUCUCUCUAUUAUAUAUUUUAUUUCCAAAUCAGAUUCUCUCCUAUCGUUCUCUUCAUUUUCUCAAGGUAAUCUCACAAAUUUCAUUCUAGUUUUCAUGAUUCAAACCAACUCAUUCAAUCUUCUUCUAGCAGAAACCGUGAACCAAACUUGAAAGACGGAGCUAUCGCGUGUUUUCUCAAAUUCUGUUCAAGGGUGAAUCAUCGUAUGUGAAUCGUGAUACCAAAGGGAAGAGAGAACUUGAGAUUUUAAGCAUUCGAGGUUGAGCGGUGACGAGCAGUUGGUGGUGUUGAGCAAUUUAAAAUUGAA